GCCACCCGUCCUCACCCCUCCCUCCCGGCGGGCCCCGAGUCCCAGGAGCCCCGUGCAGGGCCCCUCCCCCUCGAGCAGGUGGUCGGCCCCGCAAAAGCCAGUCGGCCGACGGACAAGUCGGUGCAAAUUCAGGGAACGUUGUUAAACUAUUGGGUUUUUCCCCCCCAGUUUCAGGCACUGAACAGCCAGCAGAUUUAAGAAAUCUGGAUGACGAUGUGGAUACAGGAUUUGAUGAAAUUCUGGUCCGAGAGAUGUUGGAGCCAAAUAAAUCAUCAUUUCUUCAAACACAAAGACUCCCACCAACAUCGACAAAGACUCUGACAAAGAAAAAAAGCAAGUACACAUUUCUUAAAGCCUAAUUACAUGUGUUCCUAGAGGUCUGUGGUACAUAUGCACAAUCCCAUCAUGGUCGCAUUCUUUGAGGCCAGCUACUUCUGGGGCAAAAGCAGAUGGAAAUGUGGAUGAAACAGUCGUCCCAAACAUCUGCUGUAAUCUUCCCUAGACUGGGGAGGUCACACCUAGACAGGCAGAGACAAGUCCCUUUAUCCCGGCUGGUCUCUGGGUGCACGUGCAAGAAGGGCCUCGUGCUUGGGAUGCAGGUGGGGUUUAGCCACUGCGGGAACCCGGGGCGUACGGAAAUAGGAGCUUUCGACCACCCAGCACGUUUGAUGCUCACCUAAACCUCUGAGAGCAGGGCAGUGACUACGACCCCAUCCGACAGGGGCUAAAAGUAAGGUCUGGAAGAGGACUGGCCCGAGGCCCCAGAGCUAGUAGUGAACAAAACAAUGUGCUUUCCCAAAGUGCAGCUUCCUGUGGUCCAAAUGCACACAGAUAAGUCAAAUAGCACCCUGAGACCCAAGACGGAGCAUUUGACCCUUGCUCAGGAGAGAGCAGCAUGGCAGAAAUCUACAUGCAGCGCGUGAAAACGCAUUCAGCAGCAGGGACGUUCAGCAUUUUCUUGAAAAUUUACAUCCAGAUGGAAGUUCCAAUACCUCAUGGAACAUCUGCUAAACAGCUGGGUUCAAGGAGGUCAGAUGAAGCCUGACUGUUUACAUACUAGGUGGCCAGAGCACGUUUUCAGUAGAAGUUGAAAACUGUGUUAGCAUCCCAAGCUAAUGCUUUAAAGUACAGUAUGGAUGAAAACUUUCGCGGGAGUGUACAUUUAUGUUUUCCCUCAUUUUUUUCCCAUGCUGUUCAUCAAAGAAGCCCGUAUUAGAAUUAAUUAUCAGACUGACACUAAGACGAUGCAACAUGAAGAUCAAUUCUCUGCCAGGAAAGAAAAUGAACUCUUCUUUAAUGGAAAUUCUCUCCAGCAAAGAAGAAAGAAGUGUAAAAGUUUGUUCGAGGGAGGCAAAAACCACAAGGGGAUGCGGAACCUAGCCUGAGAAACCAGGACUGCUCACUCACCCGCCGCCUCCAGGCAGAA
Orcinus orca (killer whale) is the source of this 1426-nucleotide long non-coding RNA. RefSeq lists it as uncharacterized. The record is from RefSeq and is a predicted model, not a curated record. NCBI's taxonomy places the organism in Eukaryota, Metazoa, Chordata, Mammalia, Artiodactyla, Delphinidae. The transcript has 3 exons.